GCCAGCAGCCAUGCAGCUCACAACUGGCAACCCACAGAAGCUAAGCAGGUGUGAGCCUGGUCAGUACCUGGAUGGGAGACCUCCUGGGAAAAACUAAGGUUGCUGCUGGAA
This 111-nucleotide ribosomal RNA is filed under the name Lepisosteus oculatus (spotted gar). The record is from RNAcentral. Lineage: Eukaryota; Metazoa; Chordata; Actinopteri; Semionotiformes; Lepisosteidae.